This 469-nucleotide ribosomal RNA is filed under the name uncultured bacterium. Its description in RNAcentral is "bacterial SSU rRNA". It matches the Rfam family "Bacterial small subunit ribosomal RNA", at positions 28 to 480 of the family's 1533-position model. The record is from RNAcentral.
GAUGAACGCUGGCGGCGUGCCUAAUACAUGCAAGUCGAGCGAACAGAUAAGGAGCUUGCUCCUUUGACGUUAGCGGCGGACGGGUGAGUAACACGUGGGUAACCUACCUAUAAGACUGGGAUAACUUCGGGAAACCGGAGCUAAUACCGGAUAACAUUGGUAACCGCAUGGUUCUAAAGUAGAAAGAAUGGUUUGUCUAUCACUUAUAGAUGGACCGCGCCGUAUUAGCUAGUUGGUAAGGUAACGGCUUACCAAGGCGACGAUACGUAGCCGACCUGAGAGGUGAUCGGCCGACACUGGAACUGAGACACGGUCCAGACUCCUACGGGAGGCAGCAGUAGGGAAUCUUCCGCAAUGGGCGAAAGCCUGACGGAGCAACGCCGCGUGAGUGAUGAAGGGUUUCGGCUCGUAAAAUCUGUUAUUAGGAAGAACAAAUGUGUAAGUAACUGUGCACGUCUUGACGGUACCU